This 22431-nucleotide long non-coding RNA is filed under the name Eucalyptus grandis. Its description in RNAcentral is "long non-coding RNA (EGRA_LNC000009)". Lineage: Eukaryota; Viridiplantae; Streptophyta; Magnoliopsida; Myrtales; Myrtaceae. The record is from RNAcentral.
AAACCACAAGACUAGACAUGUAAACAUGAGGUCCCGAUGUAGUAGUAGGUUAAUAUAUCCACUGCAUCAGUAGUUUUAAAAACUUGGCUCUCGUGUAUGACUAGAUGGCCCUACAGCUAAAAGGUCUUUAAAUUAACUUGUUAAUACAGAAAAGAGUAUUGCCUUCAUUUGAAGACUUUGAGUAAUUUGAGGCGAGGAUUCAAAUCAUUACCAAGAGUCGAGACUCUGGAUAGUGAUCAGCACAUGGAUAAGUUAUAUUGGCACAUAGAGGGAAAGUAGAAGCAACAGAUGAAGAUAAGAGGUACAAAUGAAACUGGAGGUUGUUAUGAAAAAACAUGCUUUCACUUGCUAAUUUACUGCCCAAGCUCUAAGCUGGUAAGAAAUAGGCUCCAGUUCCAGUUGGAAGCAAAUGACAUGACAUAAAGUAGAUAGACAUCUUGCUUGUUGAAGACAUGACAUUAAUAAGAAAAACCAUGACACUGCAUCAAUGGAGUUAUUUAUAGAGUUAAAAAGAGAAUCCUUCAAUAACACAAAUGUCCAUAAAAGUUAUAAGGUUUAGAAAAAGAAAAGAUUAAGUUUCAAAGAUUCUUCUAUAUGAAGCUAAAAGUUAAUGUUAACUGUGGCUUACCAAAGAAUCGUAAGAGAGACGUAACAAGCAUGACCAAAAAAAUUGCAAGUAAAAUUAAGCAGAACUUACGCUUUGACUCCUUUUACUGAUCCUUUAUAAGCCCUUCCAGGGUCAUCCUCAGAUAUCUUGCAUAGUUUCCCCUGCAUGAUGUAUUCAUACUUGUCAGCAAUGGAUUUCCUAUUACCCUGACAAUGGUUAUCACUGGUCAGAGACUCAAAGCUAUUAUAAGAGUAUGAAAUGCCAAAAAAAAAAAAAAAAAGUAUGAAAAACUAGGGAAAAAAGCAAAAAGAGAGAUUCUGAGUUGAAAGGAUAUUAUCCAGCUAAAAAUUAGUCCUCUAGAAAAGACCCAAAGUUCAAAGGAGUAAAUUGCUGGCUUUCUAGCAAAUGACAUUUAAGUACUAAUAACACUAGACUGGAGAAUCCAAAGGCAGCAAGAGAUAUAUAUCUCUAUAGUUCAAAAUGCUAAUCACUGGUUACGGCAAAACCAACUUGAUGGGUUCAGAAAAGAGAAAAUUUUCCUCUUUGUUAUCUACAAAAACCUUGAAGCAUCCAGACCUCCAAGUGGAUUGCUGAUUCUACUCAAGACAGCUCAGGCUUACAAUGGAGAGAGCAUGGAGAAAAGGUGACGAAUGAUAUAGAAAAGCAUCAAGUUAUGGAGAGACUAGAGAACAAAAAUCUACUGCCAUUAAAAUAGGCAAGAGAUUAUUAACGGCAGUAGAUUGUGAACAAAAACAGGAAGAUCAUACCAGGGUAUGAUAUCCUGUAUCAGGAGUUCCAUCCAAAUUUAAUGUAGUAGGUAUUGCCAUGGUAAACACCCUUUCACAGGGUAUAUUUCAGUAUUCACAUCUAGAUGCAUGAACAUGUCAAAUCUUUUGCUUUGUGCUUCAGUCCAAGUUACUAAAGAAAGAAAGUAAACUGUGAGUUAGAAAUAUCCACGAAAUAAUGUAGCUGAAGACAGCAGGAACCACAUAAUUCGACUACUUAACUUCAUUAGGGCACACUUGACACCGUAAUCCAUGAGCUCACAAACAAAAAAUUAAAAGAUUGUUUGCAUGUCAGAAGAUAAUUCUUAUCUUAGGGCACCUCACAGAAUGAGAAUCCUAAGGACGUCCGCCCAAUUUCACGAUUGCCUAUCUGAGGAAAGGAGUAAAAUUCCUCUUCCAUUCACUGGUCCCUAAUUCUGAUACGUUUCCAUUGUUUUAUCAAAUGGUUAAAUUUAAAACUCAAGCCAUUUCAAACAACUAGAAACUUCUUCCAAAGCAAUAAAUGAAUUCAGUAGGUGCAUGUCAUGUGCCAUAUAGCUCAUUCUCCGGCCUAAUACAUCCCCAGUCAAUUCUUAAAGCAGCAACGAGCUCAACUUAAGUUAGCCCAGCAUAUAACGAUUGGCACACAAGAAAGUAAACAUGCCCCAGGUAACAACACCCUUUGUAUAGGGUAUUCUAACACUCCCCUUCCCGAAUGCUAACAUCAUUCUCUCAAGUUUGGAGUGACCAGAGGACAUUGCGAAAGCUCUUUAAGCGAUCUCUCCUCUUCACAUUUUUCCUUGUUUUUAUCCCUUCCGGCGUCACAUUUUUUGGUCACACCAACAUUUGACCGCCAACAAAGACCUAGGGCAAUGAAACUUCAAGAUUAAGCAGUCUCAAAAGGAGCGAAAACUACUCCAUAGUCAGCUCCAUAACCGCGACACAGCAAGAAACCAGGAGCAAGAUUUCAGAAACCACAAACCAACUGGAGAAAAAAGAAGAACAUUCCACGCACCGAAUCUCUCAACAAGCACAAACACAACCGAUACAAACAAACCAACUCUCUUCGUUUGCUAGGUCCCAUUAACAGACUCAACAGUAAAUUGGCGUCUGCGCCAAAGAUGAAUGAAAAACGGAAAAAAAAGAACAGUUUUUUGACGAACCCAUAACGAGAAAAUUAGCAGAGAAGAAGCAAACGAGCAACAGAAAAAGCAUGGGCAUACCUUUGUCGAACUUAUUGCCGUCGGGGGUCAAGCCUCUCGACAUGAAGACAUCGUCGAGAAGCAUCAUCUUUCGCCUAUCGAGAACCCAAUUGAGGUUAUAUGAGAUUCACACCCGAAAGAACGAACCAGAUAGAGAGAGAGAGAGAGAGAGAGAGAGAGAGAGAGAGAGCGCCAUACCAGAGCAGACAAACGGAGACGUUUCGACUGGCGUGAAGGAAGGGACACGGAGAAGGAACUAAUUCUACUAUGAUUAUAAAAGAAUCACCUUCUACUGUUGGAAUAUAUUACAAGGUGACUCUUCACAUUCUUCCUAAUUCAAUUAUGAACAUUUUAAUUUAUAAAUUCAGUACUAAAUUUUUUUAUGUUAUGCCAACCGAGUAGCUAAUUUCACUAAGAUGGAUACUUAGCGUUUUAUAUGGUAUGGUUGGUGUUAAUCUAAAUAAUUUUUAAUAAAAUAUUAUUACUAUUAUUAUUAUUAUUAUUAUUUGAAAUUAUUUAAUUUUUCUUUUUUUUCUUUUUCCUCUAGCUAGUCGCUAAAGCCUCGACGACAGGCCAAAGCAAGAACCAACAAGAGGACCUCACUUACCUCUAGUGAAGCCCACCCUAUCUCACUGUCAUUAGGCAAAGUUGGCCUCAUCAUGGUAGGGCAAAGUUGAUCUCACCCAGCAAUGGCGACAUUCUCCCUCGCUAAUGGCUGAUGAGGGCAAGCUUCGCUAGAGGCUGGCGUGGUCACGUCUCUAGCUAGUCGCAGAUGCCCCCACAAUUGAUUAAAGGAGGAAGAAAGGGUAUAUUUAAAUAUUGUUAAAAGUUAUCCAUGUCACCGUUAUCCUCCUCAGUGAUUUUCGAUUAAAAUUGUUUAGACAAACUAAAUUGACAAAAAGGGAAAAAAUUAUGAUUUGAUUAAUAAAAUUUAAAGGUUAGAGAUUAAAUUGAUAAAAUUAGAAUAAGAUUAGGACUUUUUAGAUAACUUUUCCAAAUGAAAAUGGAUUAAAUUCAUCAAGUUGUAUGCGAUCUUUUUCGAUCCGAUCCGAUCAUACCCGCUCGUUUCAUACGCCUAUUCACCAUUUAGGACAUACCGAACCUAAAAUCCGAAGUGGAGGCAUGGAGGCUUUCUCUGUCUCCGUUUCGCUCUGUACGACGGCGUCUCCACCAAGCGCCCGCCACGAGCAUCGUCACCUGCGGGCUUCGCAACAGUACGAGAAGGCCACUGUGGAGGUCGAACGUUGUUGUCGACGGAGGCCACACGAGCCGUCCAGUCCCUCAUGCUGCCCAAAUCCACUCUUCGGUUGAACCACGCCCUCGGCACGAUCCUCGCUCGGCUCUCGUAAUCCCAUCUCUCGAACGCCUUCGCUGAGCUCAAGAGACUGAACGAGGUCGACUUGGCCCUCGAGGUAUCGCCUUUUACGCAGCCGGGGCCUUCCCUUGUUGGAGUUUGUGGUUCUGGGUCUUUAUAUUCUUUGCUUUUCUCGUUGGUUUUUGAAUUCUCGCUUUGUAACUUUGGCGUGUGGUGUGUGAACAAUAUCUGCCCGUGAAAAUAGGAGUUGGAAGUUUAGAAGGCCAUUUUUGAUGUCUGUGUGAGUUACAUUCUUUGAUUGUAGCGGAUGCUUUAACUGGUAUGAGCAGAGCAAGUGAUCUGGCAACUGAGUGUUGCUAUGAAGUUCAGUGAAUUCGUUUUUCGUAUUGGUUAUUGGUGAUUCAACCGGUACAUCAAGCUAGUGAGUGGCAUGGGUGAAUUGUAGAGAACGGGUUGAGUGCUGACCAAUGAGAUUGGGUUACCUUGUAACAAUGAUUCUUGUAGGCUUUUUUGGCCUUAUAGAUUUUAACCGUGUUUAGGAUUUUCUUAGUUUGGGUUUGGGUACUCCUUUUAAUCUUCUACACUAGGCGUUCAUAAAGAAAGCAGAACCACUGUGCAGAUUAGUCUUAAAUUAAAAGAAAGCAGAAAUGCAGGUUUUACAUGUUCAUCAAGGGAAACAGCAUAGGGCAUAUUCAAACUACUGUUCUCAUUAAUAUUUUGAGCAAAAAAAGAAGUAAAGUAAUACACUCACCAUGUACGUACGGGUGGUGUGAAUUGUGGAUGCACUAUUUCAAUAUUCUCUUUUUACUGUUCUCAUUCUAUCUAAAAGGAUUCCAGCUAUAGGUCCCCGAGUACAUGUGCAAGGAGGAAUGUUAUGGAACUGAUCUUGCAUUGCUUUGCGAAAUGAUCCAACUGUUGGGAAAGAACAAAUGGUUGCUCUCGCUGAAGUUGUUUUCUCUGGACUUCUGAAAGAAGGGACUGAACCUGACACAAGGCCUUAUGCGGAGAUGAUUGGAGCAUAUCUUAGAGCAGACAUGAUUGAAAAGGCAAUGCAGACUUAUGAGAAGAUGAAAGCACCUGGUUGUACCCCAAAUGAAUUCUGGAUGCACUAUUUCAAUAUUUCCUUUUUAUUGUUCUAAUUCUAUCUUAAAAGAUUCCAGCUAUACGUCUUCGGGUAUGUGUGCAAGGAGGAAUGGUGCGAAACUGAUCUCGCAUUGCAUUGCGACAUGAUCCAACUAUUGGGAAAGAACAAAAUGGUUGCUCUUGCUGAAGUUGUUUUCUCUGGACUUCUGAAAUAAGGGAUUGAACUUGACACAAUGGCUUAUGCCGAGAUGGUUGGAGUAUAUCUAAGAGUGGACAUGAUUGAAAAGGCAACGCAGAUGUAUGAGAAGAUGAAAGCAGCUGGCCGUACCCCAAAUGAAUUUACCCUGAUGAUUCUCAUAAGAAAUCUAGAGAAGGCCAGAGAAACAGAUCUGGUAGAGUUUGUGAAGAGAGAUUGUGUUCAAUAUUUGGAUUCUCCUAAAAAGUUCUUAGAAGAUGUCAACAGAAAAUUUGUAGGAAUUCACUCUUCCAUACUCAUUCUAGCAUUAUGUUCUCUAUAUGCAUAUCCUUCUGCAUGGGCUUCUCUCUGAUCCUUCCUGUUUUAAGCAGCUUUAAGAUUAUCUUUUGAUACGAAUGCUCAUGUCUCUUGGAUGAUAUCUGGGGAUGAAUUUUCUUUAAGGGCAGUCAUCAUUGCUCAAAAAUGAAUGUUUGACACAACAUAAACUAAAUCUUUAUAUUCUUGGCUUGUCCAGGUAGGAGUUCUGCACAUGCUACCCCUAACCACAGUAUUUUCUGGCCAGUGGUUAAAUUUGUUCUUCGCUUUCUUCCGAAAGUUGUUCUGCUUCCUUGCAUGUUCUGCAUUUAUAAUAAGAAUGCGUUCCUUCUUUACAUUACUAGUCGCUUAUAAUGAAUUCUUGGGAUUUACAAUGUAAUUCUGUUGUUUGAGUCCAGUGUUCCAUUCACUAACGAAAAUUUCCUGAGGCAGGGAGAAGUAUUAUUGCGAUAGCUCUAGCUUUUGCUAUCCUUUCGCUUUCUAGAUGCUUGAACUUUACUUUUGACAUAUCUUCAUGGGAAACUUUGCCUCUUGAAGAUGAGGUUCUCAACUUCUCUUCUUGUUCUUUUACAGCCGAAUAGGAGAUCGAUUGACCUAGGACUCACGGCUAUGCAAGCAUGGGCAGCUGCAAGUCCUGCUCCAGCAAUGAAAACAGGCGCCACUUUUGAACGACUUCUGUCAAAAUCGUUACCCAUGGUUCACAGCAGGAUCUUGAAUAUUUUCUUCUAUUGUGAUAUAGAUACGCAUUCAAAUUAGUUAAAUUGUGAAAAUUCAAUCAUUACUAGAUUAACUCUGUCCUAUUUUAACCGAACGUGUAACUAUUCAAUCAAUUCGUUGGGUGCUAUGUGAUUUUGUUAAUUCUCGAUUUGAAUGUUUAUCUGGUAUAUUGCAAAUUUAUUGAGUUCUUCGGCUAGGUUGAUUUUUCUCGGAUUGAUGUAUAAUCACUAGAUAUGUUGAAGAGAGUAACUUGUAUGAUUAUUAAUUUGAGCCGCCUUAUUCGUUAAGCUUUUGACACGCUAAAAGGUGAGGAGAGACAAGUAGCGUGAUUGCCUCCUUUGAAUGUAGCCCUCAUUUUAAGGUGGUUUAAGAGGAUCUUAUUUUCCUAACCUGUCUAAGCGCGCACACAUGACUUCUUAAAUAGUAUCUCAUUGAAUAAUAAUAUCUAGUGUCUAUUUACACGUGGAAUCUAUAAACACUUAAAUAAACUAAUCAUGGAUAUUGAAGUUUCCUAGCUUGAAACUCAGUAAUUACAGGUGAAUGUGCAAGUUGAAUUGAGAUAUGGUCGAUUUGACAAUAAAACAUCAACUCAGCACAAAGCAAUCAACAUCAUUCGUGCAUAAGUUCGUGCAUAAUAUACUUUUCUUUUGUCAUUUAAUACAUAAGAUGCCUUACUUGCGUUCAUUCGCAGAAUAGUUGGUUAGAGAUUCUUUUUCCUAGUUAAGUUUUGAAAUAAAUACUACUUUCUAAAAAUCAAGCAAGGAAAAUCUCAAAACACACAUGUAUAAUAGUUGGUUCAUGAUUCUUUUUCCCAAUUAGGUUUUGGAAUAGACACUAUUUUCUAAUAAUCAAGUAAGGAACAAUCUCAUCACACACACGCACACCUAUAACAGUUGGUUCACAAUUCUUUCUCCCAGUAGGGUUUUGGAAUAGGUACUAUUUUCUAAAAAUCAAACAAAGAAUAAUCUCAAUACACAUAUAUCAUAGUUGGUUCAUGGUUCUUUUUCCCAAUUGGGUUUUGGAAUAGAUACUAUUUUCCGAAGGUCAAGCAAGGAACAAUCUCAUCACAUGCACACACAUAUGUAACAAAAGGUUCACCAUUCUUUUUCCUAGUUGGGUUUAGGAAUAGAUACUGUCUUCUAAAAAUCAAGCAAGGAACAAUCUUAUCACAUGCACAUAUAAUAGUCACAAUUCUUUUUCCUAGUUAGGUUUUGGAAUAGAUACUAUUUUCUAAAAAUCAAGUAAGGAACAAUCUCAACAUAUAUAUAUUGGCUUGUGGCUUUUUUUCCAGUUGGGUUUUGGAAUAGACUGUUCUCUAAAAUUAAGCAAGGAAUAAUAUCAAUCCCAUUAUUCGUCUAUAAAUUUUGUUGUACCAGAAAUUAUGUUAGAGAGGAUCAAUAAAAUUUAAACUAAGCAAAAACAUGGCAUUUAGCUCUAUUUUGGAUUUGGGGAAUAAAUAGAACAUCCUAGACUUUGUCAUAUUGAGUCUCACGCUUUAGGUCCUUCUUAUUAUGUUUGCACCCCUUAAAAAAAACAACGAACAUUGCAUUGUUAACUAUAGAAUAAUUAAUGCACGCUUUGUUACAAUAUGCAAUUUUAAUCCUUAUGCCAAUAAAAUAAUGGAUGGCUGUGAGAAUACGGUGGAAAUCGCACGAGGGGAGAAAAAUCCGUUAAGAUAUCCAAGCGAAGCAAAACAAUAUAAAGAAAAAAAAAUGAUCACAACUCUUCUAAUUGAUUACAAGAGAGUCAAUUUCAAUCAUUACAGAUUUGUUUCAGGUUUGCUAAAAGGCUAGCUUCCCUAUCCUUUCCAAGUAUCUUGGUUUUAUCGGCAACCGGAUUCAUUGAUUUCUAUCGGACAGGCAUUUAAUUAGUUAUUCUUAAGGGUGCAAUGUUAAAGCUUUUUCUAUUUAAGAGUUACAUGAUUUAUGACCCUCAAGGAAGUUGCUCAAUUUAUCAUGGUGAUCAAGCCAAAAAUACCAAAAAGGAAUCAAUUCAUCACAAAGCUAGGUAGUUAGUGACGAAAUUUAAAGUCGAAAUUUAGAGAAUACUUUUGUCUGUCCUUGCCACAUCCCAAUUGACCUCACAAAUGUCAUUGCGUGAUUCAACAACAAGCUUUAGCUUAUUGAUCAUCCACAAACUGUUAUCUCUAGUGGAGUUCAAAUGAGCACAAUCUUUAAAAUUAUUCCUGAAUCAUAUAACUUUUGUUUCAAAUGCUUAUGUAAGUUAUAUUGAAAACAAAUUAUGUUAACAAAGUCAAGGACAUCCAUUUGAUUUACAAUUAAAAUAAGAUGGUAAAUAACAACAAUAAUAUGUCAUCCAAUUAAUAAGUUGAUUGAUGAAGUAUAUUUAUGGAGAUUAGAGAUUUCCUUGUUAGAAAAUAUUAUUAGAUAUAUUAUUAGAUAUUAGGGAUAUUAUUUGGUAUUUCGUGAUUUAAAAAAAAAAAACCAAUUGAGUAAAGAUGUAGUCUUUAUUGAUUCUAUCUCCCUCUCUCUUAAAGAUCCUAUAAUAUUUACAUGAUAUCAGAGCCACCGAGAGAAAAGCAAUUAAAUCAAACCUUAGCUUUUUCUGUUUUUAUGCUGUCUUUAGUCAUCUCAUGUUCAAUAACUUUCUGAUAUUGUCGGCAUUCAACAACACUACUAUGGACGUUUUUUGUUGCAGUACUCUCUUCUAAUAACGACCACCAUUGAUGAGUGAAGUCGUCGUCAAAUAUCUAGGUAGCUGUGAGCAUCAGAGUCAAGCACACCUUCAUCAAACAACCAAAGAUGAGCGUCGUGGGGUGGUGUCAUCAAGUAUCCAGGUAGCUGUGAACACCGGAGUCAAACACACUUUCAUCAAGUAGCCAAAGAUGAGCACUGUGGGGUGAUGUGGUUUAGUUUGCUGCAAUUCAAGUUGGGCUUCCACACAAUUCUAUCAAAAUUGUAUGAGAAAGAUAUGUCAACUUUCUAAGCAUGUGUUGCUUUAGCGCUUGUCAAAUCUGGUUUGUUUAGUGUAAGGUCAGAUUUACACGGUGUCUGAUCACAGACUUUCAAAGAAAGUUGCACCAAUCAUACGCAAGCUGCAUGCUUAACUUGAGGGGGGAGUGAUGAAGAAUAUUUAUGGAGAUUAGAGAUUUCCUCGUUGUAGAAUAUUGUUAGAGAUAUUGUUAAAUAUUAUGGAUAUUAUUUAAUACUUAGUGAAUUAAAAAAAAAUAGCCAAUUGAGUAAAGAUAUAGUCUUUACUCAUUUUUUUCUCCCUUCUCUCUUGAAGAUCCUAUAAUAUUUACAUAGAUCAUUUAUAAUUUGCAACAGAGCUUAUUUGAUUGAAUGAACAAAUUUCACUUAACACAAAUGAAUAUCACUUAAGUUCAAAUAUUACGAUUAACAUACUUCACUCACUCUAGUGUUAUUUUAUCUUACAUCUUUGUUUCUGCAUGGCCCUCUCUCUGAUCCUUCCUGUAUUUAGCAGCUUUAUGAUCAGAUAUGAAUUGCUCGUGUCUCUUUGAUGUUAUCUGGAAUUGAAUUUUCCUUAAAGCCAGUAGUCAUUGCUCAAAAAUUGGGUGUUCGACGCGACGCGAAAUAUAGCUUUAUACCCUCGUAUUGUUCAAGAGUUCUGAACAUGCUAACCCCUAACUGCAGCACGUUCUGUCAAUCAUCCACUUUAUUCUUCACUUUCUUUCGAGUGUUGUUUCGCAAGAAAUUUACCAAAAAAAUUUUAAACCUAUUAUAAUUGUGCCUAUUUAAUCUUAAUUUUUUUUAAGUUAAGUUAAUCUUAAACCUUUUACAAUUGUGCCAAUUCAAUCCAUUAGGCCAAAUUUGACCUACCGGCAUUCACAUGACAAUUUUUUAAUAAUAUUUUAUUUAUUCGAAUUAUUUUAUUUUUUUUUCUUUUCUUUUUUCUCUUCUUCCACUUUGACUUAUUUUCCCCGUAGUGGCUGGCAAGGCUCUAGAAAGGAUCACUGCCCUCGUCCAACCUCACUGACCUUGACCACGGCCUUGCUGCAGGCAAAGGUGGCCUCGCCGGCGGCUGGCAAGGCCAUGGCGAUCUUCAGCCGUGGUUGUUGAGGCCAUGGCGGCCUAGCCUUCAUACCAAGAAUUGUUUUGCUUCCAUGCGUGUUCUGCGUUUAUACUAAGAACGUAUUCCUUCUUUUCACUACCAGUUGCUUAUCAUGAAAACUUAUGGAGGCUGAGAGAAAUAUUAUUGUGACGGGUCUAGCUUUUAUUGUCCUUCCCUUUGUUUAUGCCUAAACUUUACUUUUGACAUAUCUUCACUUUAAACUUGGGAUCUUGAAGACGAACUUCUUAACCUCUAUACUUAUUCUUUUCCAGCCGAAGGGGAGAUCGAGUGAUCCUGUUUGAGGACUUUCAGCUAUGCAGGCACGGGCAGCUCGAAGUUCUGUCCAGCCAUGAAACGACGCACCGCUUUUGCCCACUUCUAUCGAAAUCAUUGCCCAUGGUUUGUAGCAGGAUCUUGAAUUUUUUUUUUUUAUAGACAGUGAAAUUAAUCAGUUCUAUCUUUGAGAGAAGGAAAACGGAGGGGGAGAAAAGGGGAAAAUUUUAAGACUAUAAAAUUCAAAUUAGUGCGUAUUUCCUUUGUAUUUUCCUCCCCCGUUCCAAAUAUAGGGAAAAUAUCAUGUACACUAAUUCAAAAUUUUUUAAUCUGUGAAAUUACAAUCAUUACUGGAUAUGACUCUAUCGUAUCUUAAUUAAACGUAUAGCACUGCAGUCAAUUUGUUGGGUGGGAUGUGGUUUUGUUAGUUCUUGAUUACUGGACAUGUGGAAGAGAGUAGCAUGUAUAAUAUUAUAAAUUUGAACCAUCUUAUUCUUUAACCUUUUGACACUCGAAAGGGCGAGGGGAUGCAACUACCACGAUUACCUCCAUUCAACGUAACCCAAAUAUAAUUAUAAAUUCAGCCGGAUGAGUUCUCAAUUUUAAGUUAAUUUAAGAGGAUUUUAUUUUCCUAACAGGAGGAUAACCUACUCAUCCUAUACAAGCACACUCCUAUGACUUGUUAGAUAGUAUCUUAUUGAGCAAUAACAUCAAUUGUCUUGUUAGAUGUAGUAUCACUAAAGAAUCCAAUAAACUAAUCACGGAUAUCGAAAUUUCAUAAUUCGAAUUCCAGAAGUGGAUGUGCAAAUGAAAUUGAGAUAGGACCGUUUGGACGAUAAAACAUCAACCCAACACAAAGCAGCAAGCAUCAUCUGUUCACGCAAGAGAUGCUUUUCUUCUAUAAUUUAAUGCACGAGAUACCUUACUUGUGUUCAUUCGCCGAAUGGGUUCACAAUUCUUUUUCCCCGCUGGGUUUUUGAAUAUAUACUUAUUUCUAACAAACAAGCAAGGGACCAUCUCAAUAUAUUUGUCAUUAUUUGUCCUAAACAUGUUGCACUCAGAGUUAUAUUAGAGAUAAUUGAUAAAAUUCAACCUCAACAAAAAUAUGGCAGUUAGCUCCACUUUGUAUCCAUGGAACAAAUGGAACAUCCGAGGUUUCGUUCUAUUAAGUCUCUUGCUUCAAAUCAUUCUCAUUCUAUUUGCACCCCUUAGAAAGAAAACAAAAAACAAUCAUAUCGUUUUCCUCUUGUGGUUAGCCUAUUUGAUAGCCGAUUCAGUAGUUGUAUUUGGGAUCGGGCUUAUCUCUCACAAUGAAGGCAGUUUAUGCGCUCAUGUAGCUGAAGUAGAUAGAGCACUUCGGGCAUUUUGGGCCUCAUUUCUCUUGUUACAUCUUGGCGGUUCGGACACCAUCACUGCAUUUUCUCUCGAGGACAGUUCGCUUUGGCGGCGGCACUUGCUCAAUCUCACCUUCCAGGUCAGUGCCGCCAUCUAUGUCUUUGUGCAAAUAUUUCCCAGCUACAAGUCCCUGGUGCUCCCAACAAUGCUGAUUUUUCUUGCUGGGGUCAUAAAAAAGGUGGAGAGGACACUAGCACUUAAUCUCUCAAGCCUCCCAAGGCUUAGGGAACGGGUGCUCUCACAGGAUGUGGCUCUUGAUGAUGAAAGUAUCUUUGACGAUGAAGAUAUCGUUGCCGAACUGGAUGGAUAUUCUCAUGGUGAAGAAGAAGCAAAGCUUCCCGAGAGCAUUGUAGUGAAACAUGCUUAUUACUUCUUUCAAAUCUCUAAACUCUUCCUCACAGAUCUCAUCUUCACAUAUAGACAACGUUAUAUAAGCAGAAGAUAUUUUCGCAGCGUGUCUGCGGUGGAUGCGUUGAGGGUAAUAUCAGUCGAACUCCAUUUCAUUUAUGAGGUGCUCCACACAAAAGCAUUGACAAUACGUUCCAAGUGGAGCUACGUUUUCCGCUUCAUAGCCUUCAUUGUCGUUGUGAUGGCUUUUGUCUUCUUCAAUCGCUUGAAAAAGCAUCAGCUCCCUAAACUCGAUGUGAAAAUUACGUAUUUACUUCUUUUUGGAGGGAUUGCUCUUGAUGUGAUCGCAGUGCUCAUGCUCGUUUUCUCUGACUGGACUGUUGCGAAAAUCCAGUGGCACAAAACAGGAUCAUCUAAACUAAAUUCAUUUCUCUACCGCCUACUAUCCACUGCAGAUGACCUACGGAAGCCCCGAUUCGCCAAAUGUGAAGCAGAGCCUGACAACAAGGUUACUUAUGCGGUCUUAGAUACUCCAUUAUUAAUUCGAAGGUGGUCAGAAUCUAUUUGUGCUUGCAACCUUUUAUCUGAGAGUUUAAAGAAGAGUCCGCGGAAGAUGUAUAAGCACGGCUGGCAAUGGGGAAACAUCGCCUUUUCUAAUAUCUGCAGCUUUCCAUUUUAUAUGGCUGAUAAAACCAUCUCUUGUUUCCAUCAAGCUGUUAUUUCAAUCGCUGAAGGCUAUGGUCUGAUGAUAAUGGAUGGAAAAAGAUCGGUGAUUGCGAAUACGAGGUACGUCUCAACGAAUCCAUUUAUUUUGAAGUUAUGGAUUUUUAUCUUUGAGGAGCUGAGACGUAAAUCCAACUACACACUUGAUCCGGAUUGGAGUCCGGAGAGCGAUUGGAGUAAGAGGAGAGAUUGGACGACGCUGAACAAAAAUCUUUGGAUUGACCAACAUCACCGACCUAAUGAGCUGGAAAUUGAUGACUGGGGGGAGGUAGAUAGGACGAAGGAGAUAUAUGAGGCUAGAGGUAAUUGGUUUCUCAGGAUUCUCCAGAGUGAGGCCCGUCUUCGUAGCCUCAAUGAUUGUGACACGGAGGGCAUACACGAGGCUACAGAUAAUGAGUUUCCCCAGAAUAACCAGGAUAUCCGUGGGAGGGUAACUAUGCCUAGUGUCACCGAUGUUAAUUACUACGAGAGUGUUAUAUUGUGGCACCUUGCUACCGAAAUCUGGUAUAACAGAGAGGAUCCCACACCCGGAAAUGACGAAAGCAAUGAUAAAAGGGAAUUCAGCAAGAUUCUCAGCGAUUAUAUGUGUUAUCUUUUAUUUAAUCAGCCUAAUUUGGUGUCUGCUGUGGCCGGCAUUGCCCAAAUUAGAUUGCCAGAUAUAUUGCGGAUUCUACGGAGGGACUUCCGUCCCAACAAUGUGAAGGGCUUAUGCAGGAGAAUUUUUUCAUAUGUCCCAGAUAUCGCUUAUACGGGCGCUGAAGUAAAGGUGGGUUACUUGAUCUCCGGUGGGGCCAAAUUGGCCAGAGAAUUAGAAGAGUUCGGGGAAGGGAAGUGGGAGGUGAUGAGCGGAGUGUGGGUGGAGAUGCUGUCAUAUGCGGCAGGUCAUAUUAAGGGAGAGGCACAUGCGCAGGUGCUGAGUAAAGGUGGAGAGCUUCUAACCUUUGUUUGGUUGUUAAUGACUCAUUUUGGUUUGUUUCACAGACCUGAAUGGGCCCCGUAUUAUAUUUUGCGAAUGUGUUGAUUCACUAUCAUGAUGGUGAAUCAUUAAUCUUCUAAAUCCCAAGCCUUCACUAGUGAAUUUUAUCAUUCCGUGCGAUAUUAUUAAUUCCCUCCAUUUGUAUUUCUUAUAUCUUUUACGAAUAAAAUCGGUGUAUAUUUUUUUAUCAUAUUUUAUUACGGAAGCUAUCUUUCAACAGCUACAGAAUAAUCAAUGCAUGAUUUAUUUCGACGUGCAAUUUUAUGUCUGGUGAUUUCUGUUUACAUGCAAUCCCUGUGCUAAUAAAAUAACGGAUGGCCUGUGCGAAUAUAAUGAAUACUGAAUAAUAUACACAAUGGAUGAAGACUGCAUCAAAGACAUAAAAGCGAAGCAAAGAAGCGGUGUCCGGUCAAAACAAGACAGAAAAAAUUAUCAUCAUAGAUACAACAAUAAAAAUCAGUUUCCAUCGUUACAGAUUUCUUCCAGCUUCACUUUGCUCUCCAAUUAUCAUGUUUUUUCAGCAACUAGAUUCAAUAAAUUUUUAUAAGACAACCAGUCUGAUUAAUUAUUCUUAAUUUUAUUUAGCGAGUUACAUGAUUAUAUUCUAGGCCUAGAGAAAGUUGCUCAAUUCACCGCGGUAAAGCUAAAACUACCGGGAAGGAUCAAUUUACCACAAAGCUAUGCAGUCGAAGUCAAAAAAAAUUAUGUAGUUCGAGAUGGAAAAAUAAUUUCGAAAUUGAAACAAAAAAUGUAUUUUCUGUUUAUCCUUGCAACGUUCGCACUUAUACAAUAUGAAUGCAAAGAUAGGAACAGAAAUUCAAAAAAAAAAACAAAAAAACAAAAAAAACAAAGCUUUUACAAUAAAGAUAAGGGAUGCACAGGGAGUAAAGCAAAAGGGACAGCAGAAGUUAACAUUCAGGCCCUAAAUCGCUUGCUGCAGUGAAAUUCCAUGCACUUCCAACACACACUUUCCCAGAUGCAAUACAAUGAACAAAAUCAGAUUACUCAAUAAGCUGCACGAAAAGUCCCUCUGAAACCCAGAUUCACAUCAAGGCCAAAGUGAAAAAGAUUAGCUUCCCAAUUUCAAUUUUUCCCUAGUGAUUUGAUCUGAAAAGAACAAAGAGGAAGGACAAAAUUACCUUCUCAGCGGACGCAUUGUCCUCAUUCAAGAUUCUCUGAGAAGAAGAUCAACUCGUCGAGUAUCACUCCUCUUUGUUCUUUGACAGAACCUGACCUUUCUAACUGAUCAAAUUCCAUCCUGUCCAAAACCUCUAACUGAUCAAGGCCCUAUAGCACUGGUUGAUUUUGAUAUGCCUCAGGCUCUUCAAUUUUUGACAAUUAUCAACUGAUCGUUCAACAGAGUGGCACCUGUAGAGAGAGAACUUUUCCAAUGAUUCCAACUUGCAGACGACUUGGAUGUUGGGUAGCCUUUGGCACUCGGAAAACUCUCUUGUGGAUGUUGGCUCUUCAAUUUAAGACGCUCGGUAGAAGGAAAACUCUCCACCCACGAGCAGCUAACUCACUCAACGAUUCUAGUUCCUUGACAGAACCUGACCUUUCUAAAGACUCACCGCCCUAGAUACUUAGUUAAUCUCUUCAGCAGUUCCAGCACGCUGCCCAAAACGAGCACCAGCUCACCUCUAAUGCGUUUAGUUUCUUUAAGCUUAAUCAAAUGGGUGAUCUCUCCAGUUCACACCACAUGACCAGACUUUUCCAACUUGGAGGUCCCUCAAAGUGAUCUCUUUCAUUCAAGAAGGAGAGAGCUUUAAAGCCAACAUAUUUUCAAAGCUUUUCAAGCUGGACAAGAUUGAUCUUGGCAGGUUGACUUUAUCAAGGUUUGAAUCCACCAGAAAAGAUGGAAGUUGCGUGCAGGAUUGCAGGUCUAGUACAGACGAAGUUGGUUUUUAGAAGAGAAAGCGAACCUAACUGGGGGCACAGUUAUAUUCCUAAAAUACAACGUAAUUUCUUUCUAUUUAGACAAUCUCCCAAUCCACCAUAGGUCACAAGUCUGCACUAACUUUAAUCCUUAUGUAUAACCAGUGCCAGCUUGUUGAAUCAAUUCCAACAAAUUUGUCAGAUUUGAGAGGUUAGGAACCAGCUGCAACAUUGUAAAUACAUCAAACUCAUGGAAAGCUCUAACAACUCUUUGAUCACACGCUAUACUAAGUUCGAAUUUUCAAGGCAAGAAGCAGAUUCAUCGUACCUGGCAAACUGACAGUUCCUGUACGCCAUAAAUUUAGGAAUCUCAACAAGACAAUAUCCCGAGUUCGGCAGGGAUUUUGACCUCUAACACAGGACGACUAUAGGCAUGUAGCUCUUCCAAAUAUUCCAACAUUCCAAUAUUACUAGGAAACUCCCAUCGGUUUCCAAGUAUUGACAAUUCCAACACAUGGAAUGAUUUUAACUUUCUGAUGGAAUAGAAAGUAUCCUAAAGUUGGUGAAAGAAAGACGAGUACUCCAGCUUCACCAGCCCUUCAAUAGACUCCAGAAGUUCGGUGACUGGCGUGUGUGAUAUGCUGAGAGUUGACAAAACAGUUUAGUCCACUAAAAAGCAAUGGAUCACCGUGCUCCAUACAUAAGACUCUGUUCAAUGAUGCUAACUUACCAAAUUAGUCGAGGAGUUUCUUCUCCAAAAAACAUCCCUUUAAAGAGAAGCGCUUAAGAUUCACCAGCCCUCCACUUUCUUCAGGCAACUCUUUAGACGCCAGCAACUUUCAAUACCCAAGUCAGUCGAGCACUUCAGUUUUCCCGUUGAGCAGUCAAUUUCCAUCAAACUUGAGAGCAACCAGAAAAGUUUGGGGUUUUAGUCAUGCCAGAACAGUUUUUCAUCGUCAGAACUUACAAUCUGCAAAACAGAACAAUGAAUUGUAGAAGUGAAAUAUCAUCUAUAGAGGAUCAUAUAACUGAAGGAAAGAAAAAUAUAUACAUACUAGAAGAUAAUACACAACUAAAAAAAAAAAAAAAAAACGCUACAGGAUGAGACAAUUAGGCUUCAAGUAAACUCAUAAAAUACCUUAAGUUUGCUCCAUGCUUCAUUCUUUAAUGUAUACUGGCCACCCAAAAAUCUGGUUGAGGAAAAGCCCAAGAAAUCCAUCUUGAGUUUGAAAGUCAAUGGCUGAAAUCCCCAACAAAAAUUCCUCUGUCCAAUUUAAGGAACCUUAGUUGUCCAAAUUUAUACAUAUUUCCAACAGUAAAAUGGAAUCUUGGAAAACUAUGUGAGGCUAGAUGGAGUGCUUGCACAUUUUGUUUCCUCUGUGACAGUAAAAACUACUCUGUCCACAUUUCGUUUCCUCUGUCCACAUUUCACAGAGAAGAAGAAACGACUCAAAAGAAAGAUACUUAGUAAAAAAAAAUGUGUUGAUCGUUGUUGUUUUGCUUAUUUCCAGGAUCUGUUAGAGCUUUUUGAUGGACAAUUUCUCUUCCAAGAUCUCUUAGUUGGUCAUCCAUCCAGGACACCUCGUCAUUUUGAACCUUUAUUGAGGAUAUGCUUCUUGAUACCCAUUCUCGUCAAUGAAAAAGUAAGCAAUAUCUACAAAAACAUUUGUCAUCAGUCAGUACUUGAGGCGUCAAACUGAUCUCCAACUUUCCUGCAGUAUCCUCGUGAGGAACUUCACUGAAUUUAUCAUCUCUUUUCGUAUCUCCUUCCUUUUCCAACAAAGGAACAAACCUAACACUUCAAGAGCCAAAGAAAGUCUUCCAGUCAUGAAGACAACGUCUCUUGAAAGGAUGUGGCAGUCAUGUAAAGUAGUGUCUCUCUCGAAGGCAUACUUGCUGGAAAGCCACAGUCAAUGAUCAAAACUCUUUCCUCCAUUUCGUAAUCUAGAACGACUCACAUUAAUUCUUUAUUGUGCAAGACUUUUUAUUCCUAGUCAUAAUAACUUUAGAACCUGAACCACAAGGUACACUUGCCGACUAACUUCUGGACUUAUUCACUCUUGUCUACCUCAUCAAGAACAAUAAGGACCUUUUUGUGGAGUGUUUCUCCAAUCCUCUGCUCUCCAUAAUCAACAUCAUCAAUGUUGUUCGCUGCAGAAGAUUUACAAUAUCUGAUGAUAACCUUUUUUGCAACUUGAUUAUUCCUUCAUUUUUUGAUGACUUUUUCUUGGAUAUAUUCAAGGAAACUAUUGCACAUUCCAAAAUGAGGCGAUAGUUGAUUGAAAAUGACUUUGGCAAGAGUUGUUUUUCCUAUGCCUCCCAUUCCACGAACUAUGGCCAGCCAGAAACCACUUGCUUUGAUAUCUAAGAACUAUCCCAUAUCUGCCACUUCAUCAUCCAUUACGACUAAAUGCUCAGUUACAGACUUGUGUAUUGUCUUCGGCUUAUUCAAAACCACCCCAACGACAAGUUUGAUCAGUCCUCUUUGGCUGUCACAAUUAAUUGCAAACCAGUUUUAGUGGGAAAAGAUCAUUAUACAUCCGUUCAUGUUUGUACUCGCUUUAUUUACUUUUCCUUUUCCAAAUUUACUUUUCCUUUUCCAAGUAAAAGACCAGGGAUUAAAAAAAGAAAAAAGAAAAAAGGUUAAAACAGCAGAAACUAAGCAAAACACGAAAACGUCACAUGUACUAAACAAUAGAAAUCCUGAUUACUACAAUUUUUUUUUUCUGACGGGUAAAGCUGCUUAUCAAGAACAUGUGUUCUAUGAAAAAGAAAAAAGUGAGGAGCUCACCCAUCAUCCUUUAUCAGAUUCAUCUCUUUAAUUCAUCGACUUCUUGAAGAGCCUUUCGACAAGCCUCAACCUCAAGAAUACUCAACUACCUCAAGAAUACUCAACUUCUACUCUUGCUCCAAUUUCAAUAAGGCAUCACAGUAGAAUGGAGUUUUAAAUUUGACAUCCUUGGGUUCCACAUGAUAGAAAAUGGGAAGAAUCUCUUUCAACCCCUCCAAUUUAGAAGUUCGUUGCACCAUGCCUUUGAGCUUGCAGAGGCAUCAAUGGCUAGAAGCUAUGUAGAUGAUGCAAUUCUCUAUCGCACAGGGAAGUUUUCUUUCAUUUUUUUUGCCAGCUUGGAAUUCAUCGUUGUCUCUAAAAACACAAAAGCCAACGUCCACCAAGCCAUGGUAGAGGCAAUUGGUGAAUCCAUGGCAAGAGUCUGAUCUUCUGAAGCUCAAAAACACUUGGUACUCGCCUCCAAACACAUCCGUCGCUACUCAUUCCAGACUCUAAAAGUUUGCAGAGAUCAGCCUCCAAGUGUAUCAUAAGUCAUCACUGCUUAUUGUUUGUUUGGCAGCUUGAGUUAUAUACUGUCUUUCUAAUAUUUUCCAUGUUAGCAACUGGUGAAGAUAUUCCCUUAACUAUACGUAAUAAUACUACUCAAAGUGGUUUUGUUAAGUAGAUUACUUUAGAUAAAGCUACCUUGGAUCAUAAGAGAGUAGGAGAAGGCAGGAAAGCAAAGAUUUGGCAGGCCAACUUGAUUAUCUACUCUUCCAGUGUAUCACAGUGCAGAUACCACACACUAAGGUGGAAGAUAACGGCAGAACAUGAUUCUGUCAAGAUGAACCCUGAAGACAACAAAAUACAUAAGACACUACACAAUAGCCAAUACACUGAAAGAGAAAGGGUCACAAAAGCAGAACACUUAAGUCUUGCAUUAUAUACUAAAAAAGGGACAUAUAAUACAGUUCUUUUUCAAAUGGCCAAGUUGCUUGGACCACAUGUCCAAACUUUGGAAGUAAAUAUGGGCCUUAUAUGAAUAAAAAAACGUCAAGCGACGAGAACCCAAUAGCCAGUCUUAUAAUGAGUUGAAAUCAGGCAGAGUCCCACAUUGACCAGGAGCACAAGCACCUCAGUUUAUAUUGUCCAAGCAGGAUGGUCAAGAUUGUUAUUUUCGAGAUAUUCUAUACAGGUGGCGUGAAUUCUGGAUGCACUAUUUCAAUAUCUCCAUUUUACUGUUCUCAUUCCAUCUAAAAAGAUUCCAGCUAUAGGUGCCGUGUGCAAGGAGGAAUGGUACGGACGGAUCUUGCAUUGCGUUGCGACAUGAUCCAACUAUUGGGAAAGAACAAAAUGGUUGCUCUCGCUGAAGUUGUUUUCUCAGGACUUCUGAAAGAAGGGGUUGAACCUGACUCAAGGGCUUAUGCCGAGAGGAUUGGAACAUAUCUAAGGGUGGACAUGAUUGAUAAGGGAAUGCAGACUUAUGAGAAGACGAAAAGCAGCUGGUUGUACCUCAAACGAAUUUACCCUGAUGAUUCUGAUAAGAAAUCUAGAGAAGGCCGGAGAAAAAGAUCUGGUGGAGUUUGUGAAGAGAGAUUGUGUUGAAUAUUUGGACUCUCCUGAGAAGUUCCUAGAAGAAGUUUGAAAGAAAUACGUAGGAUUUCACUCUUCCAUGCUCAUUCUAGCAUUAUGUUCUCUAUAUGCCUUUCUUUCUGCAUGGGCUUCUCUCUGAUCCUUCCUGUCUUCAGCAGCUCUGGGAUUAUCUUUUGAUGUAAGUGCUCAUGUCUCUUGGAUGUUGUCUGGAGAUGAAUUUCCUUUAACGCCUGUCAUCAUUGCUCAAAAAUGAACGUUUGAUGCAACAUGAACUAGAGCUUUAUACUCUUGGCUUGUUUAAGUAGGAGUUUUGGACAUACUACCCCUAACAGCAGUACUUUCUGGUCGGUGGUCCAAUUUGUUUUUUGCUUUCUUUGAGAGAUGUUUUGCUUCCGUGCAUGUUCUACAUUUAUACUAAGAAUGCAUUCCUUCUUUUCAUCAAUGAUUGGUUAUAACAAAUUAUUGGGAUGUAUGACGCAAUUUUGUUGUUUGAGUCCAAUGUUCCAUUCACUAAUGAAAACUUCCUGUGGCUGAGAGAAGUAUUAUUGCAUCGACUCUAGCUUUUACCAUCCUUUCGCUUUCUUGAUGCUUGAACUUUACUUUUGACAUAUCUUCACUUGAAACUUGGCCUCUUGAAGAUGAAGUUCUUAACUUCUGUUCUUUUUCUUUUACAGCCAAAGAGGAGAUCGUUUGAUCUUGUUUGAGGACUUACAGCCGUGCGAGCAUUGGGCAGCUAGAAGUUCUGCUCCUAGUUGUAGUGAUAACUCUAGAACCUGAAGCACAAGGUUAACUUGUUGAAAAACUUCUGGACUUGCUUACUCUUUUCCACAUCAUCGAAGACCUUUUUUUGCAGAGUGUUUCUUCAAUCCUGUGCUCUCCAUAAUCAACGUCAUCAAUGCUGUUCGCUGUAGAAGAACUUAUAAUAUUGACUUUUUUUGUAACGUGACUAUUUCUUCAUCUCUUGAUAACUUUUUUGAUAACUUUUUCUUGGAUGUCUAGUCACUUCAUCUCUUAAUAACAUUUUCUUGGAUGUCUUCAAGGAACUACUGCACAUUUCAAAGCGAAGUAACAGUNNNNNNNNNNNNNNNNNNNNNNNNNNNNNNNNNNNNNNNNNNNNNNNNNNNNNNNNNNNNNNNNNNNNNNNNNNNNNNNNNNNNNNNNNNNNNNNNNNNNNNNNNNNNNNNNNNNNNNNNNNNNNNNNNNNNNNNNNNNNNNNNNNNNNNNNNNNNNNNNNNNNNNNNNNNNNNNNNNNNNNNNNNNNNNNNNNNNNNNNNNNNNNNNNNNNNNNNNNNNNNNNNNNNNNNNNNNNNNNNNNNNNNNNNNNNNNNNNNNNNNNNNNNNNNNNNNNNNNNNNNNNNNNNNNNNNNNNNNNNNNNNNNNNNNNNNNNNNNNNNNNNNNNNNNNNNNNNNNNNNNNNNNNNNNNNNNNNNNNNNNNNNNNNNNNNNNNNNNNNNNNNNNNNNNNNNNNNNNAUGUAGUACUAGGUUAAAAUAUCCACUGCAUCAUUAGUUUUACAAACUUGGCUCGUGUUUGACUAGAUGGCCCUAUAGCUAAAGGUCUUUAAAUUAACCUGUCAAUGCAGAAAAAAGUAAAGCUUUCAUUCGAAGACUUUGAGUAACUUGAGGCGAGGGUUGAAAUCAUUCCCAAGAGUCGAGACACCGGAUAGCGAUCAGUGCAUGAAUAAGUUAUAUUGGCAUGUAGAGGGAAAGUGGAAGCAACAGAUGAAGAUAAGAGGUACAAAUGAAACUGGACGUUGUUAUGAAAAAACAUGCUUUCACUUGCUAAUUUACUCCCAAAGCUCUAAGCUGGUAAGAAAUAGGCUCCAGUUCCUGUUGGAAGCAAAUGACAUGACAUAAAGUAGACAGACAUCUUGCUCGUUGAAGACAUGACAUUAAUAAGAAAAACCAUGACACUCCAUCAAUGGAUUUAUUUAUAGAGUUAAAAAGAGAAUCCUUCCAUAACAUAGAUGUCCAUAAAAGUUAUAAGAUUUAAAAAAAGAAAAGAUGAAAUUUCAAAGAUUCUUCUAUAUGAAGCUAAAAGUUAGAUGUUUACUGUAGCUUACCAAAGAAUUGUAGAAGAGACGUGAAAAGCAUGACUAAAAAAAUUGCAAGUCAAAUUAAGCAGAACUCACGCUUUGACUCCUUCUAUUGAUCCUUUAGAAGCCCUUCCAGGAUCAUCCUCAGAUAUCUUGCAUAGCUUCCCAUGCAUAAUACAUUCAUACUUGUCAGCAAUGGAUUUCCUAUUACCC